Molecule: unclassified non-coding RNA, 173 nt
Filed under: Pectinophora gossypiella (pink bollworm)
Lineage: Eukaryota; Metazoa; Arthropoda; Insecta; Lepidoptera; Gelechiidae
Description: uncharacterized LOC126373589
Source: RNAcentral
GGACCAUAUCGAUCCAUUACGGGCCAUACAGAAGAACUUUACGCUCUAAUUGUUUAAAUGCCCCGGUGUAUACACAACCGCUGAAGGCGACAUUUACUCGGGCACAUGGGAGAGCGACAAGCUGAAUGCCUUCGAAGUGACCACUAUACAGUACAAAGACGGCUCAAAGUACG